AUGCGGAAGAAAGAUUUUCCGCAACAUGACUGCAGAGAUAGUACUAAAUUUGUUGCUGGAGAUAGUUUUGUUAAUGGAGGGUUCAGAAAUUGGAAUAUGAAAGCGAGAUUUCGUAAGCAUGCUGGUGAGGUGAAUAGUGCUCAUUGUGAAGCCGAAGAGAAAUAUAAUUUGUUCAUCAAACCUAAAGCAUCAAUCCACGAGGCCAUUGCCUCACAGACCACACAGUACAAGGCUGAGUAUCUACCUCGAUUAAAAUGGUCAUUUGAGUGCAUAAAAUUUAUUUUGCAUCAGGGGUUGGCUUUUUGUGGUCAUGAUGAGGGAAAGGAUCCGACAAAUAAAGGAAAUUUCCGAGAACUUUUAUAAUGGCUGGCAGGCAAAUUUGAAGAAGUUAAUAAGGUUGUUUUAAGAAAUGCUCCACAGAAUUGUUAGAUGAUAGAUCACAAAAUUCAAAAACAGCUUAUUGGUUCUUGUGCUCGUGAAACAACAAAAUUUGUCAUAGAGGAACUUCUUGAUGAGUGUUUCGCAAUUCUUGCUGAUGAAUCUAGUGAUGUAUACCAACAAGAACAAUUAGCUCUUUGCUUGCGAUUUGUCAAUAAAAUAGGGGAGCCGGUUGAAAGGUUUCUUGGUCUUGCUCAAGUUGCGGAUACUACAUCAUUAACUCUUAAAGAAGCAAUUCAGACCUUGCUUAUGAAGUAUCAAUUGCCGAUAUCCAAGCUACGUGGGCAAGGGUAUGACAGUGCUAGUAACAUGAAGGGUCAUGUUAAUGGUUUGAAGAAACUAAUUAUGGAAGAUUCUCCUUCUGCUUAUUAUGUUCAUUGCUUGGCCUAUCAGCUUCAACUAACCCUUGUAGCUGUUGCUAAGGAGAAUAUUGGUUGCAAAUGGUUCUUUGGGCACCUUGUAGAUUUGUUGAAUGUUCUUGGGAUGUCAUGUAAAAAGAUCUGCAUGCUUCACGUAGCUCAGGCUGAGUAUAUGAUUGAAGCAUUGAAGCAAGGUGAAAUUGAAGCUGGCCAAGGUUUGAAUCAAGAGAUGGGCCUAGCAAGGCCCGGUGAUACACGCUGGCGAUCUCACUACAAAACGGUAAUGCAUGUUAUGUCUUUGUAUCCUUCAAUCAUGAAAGUUCUCUUUAGGCUCGGGAAAGAAAGUAAUUCGGCAGAGGCUUUAGGAGCUCAAACAAUGUUGGAAGUAUUUAAAUCAUUUUUGUUUGUUUUCAUGCUGCACUUGAUGAAUGAAAUAUUUGGGUACACAAGUGACUUAAGCAACGCUUUGCAAAAGAGCGAUCAAGAUAUUGUGAAUGCAGUUGAUCUUCUUGAGUUCACAAAGGUACAACUGCAAGUUCUAAGAGAAGAUGAUGGAUGGAAAGAAUUCCUUGAAGUCACUUCUUUUUGUGUGAAGCACAAUGUCAGAUGUGUUGACAUGGAUGGGAAGUACAAGCCUAUACAAAGAGCAAGAGUGUUCUAUAAAAAUGCCAUGAAUUACCACCGUCUCCAUGCUGAUAUGUUUUUGGGUGUCAUUGAUAGGCAACUUCAAGAGCUUAAUAACAGGUUUGAUGAGGUGAACACAGAGCUACUUAGAUGUAUGGCAAGUCCAGUCAAGUCAUUUUCUCCUCUUAAUAUUGAUGACCUGGUUAAGCUUGAUGGGUUCUAUCCUCAUGAUUUUGACUUUGAAGAAAUGCACCAACUUCCUAUUCAAUUGAAUCUCUAUAUUAGUGAUGUGAGUCAUGAUGAAAACUUCGCAAAAUUGAGAAGUCUAGCAGAGUUGUCUAUGAUGCUUGUUAGAACAGGGAGGGCUCUUCGGUAUGAUAUUGUUUACAAACUUCUCAAAUUGGUGCUAGUCCUUCCUGUUGCAAUAGCCAGUGUUGAGAGGGUCUUUUCAUCAAUGAACUAUAUAAAAAACAAGCUAAGAAGCAAGAUGGGGCAAAAAUACUUGAAUGAUUGCUUGGUCACAUUCAUUGAAAGGGAUUUCUUCUUGCAAGUUAAGGAUGAGGAUAUUAUCACUCAUUUUCAAAGCAUCAAGGAUCGCAAAGUUACCGUGUGA
Molecule: ribosomal RNA, 2034 nt
Filed under: Triticum aestivum (bread wheat)
Lineage: Eukaryota; Viridiplantae; Streptophyta; Magnoliopsida; Poales; Poaceae
Description: partial small subunit ribosomal RNA
Source: RNAcentral